UCCCAGCGGUCCAAGUCGCAGCCACGUUUAUUGGGUCUAAAACAUCCGUAGCUUGUUUCGUAAGUCUCCUGUGAAAUCUGGCCUCUUAAGGGUCGGGCGUGCAUGAGAUACUGCGAGACUAGAGACCGGGAGGCGUAAAGAGUACGAAUAGAGUAGCGGUAAAAUGCGUUGAUCCUAUUCGGACUAACAAUCGCGAAGGCACUUUACGAGAACGGAUCUGACAGUGAGGGAUGAAGGCUAGGGGCGCAAAGUG
Molecule: ribosomal RNA, 253 nt
Filed under: uncultured archaeon
Lineage: Archaea
Description: partial 16S ribosomal RNA
Rfam family: Archaeal small subunit ribosomal RNA
Source: RNAcentral